This 69-nucleotide transfer RNA is filed under the name Manacus vitellinus (golden-collared manakin). It matches the Rfam family "tRNA". From Rfam's summary of the family: Transfer RNA (tRNA) molecules are approximately 80 nucleotides in length. Their secondary structure includes four short double-helical elements and three loops (D, anti-codon, and T loops). The record is from Rfam by way of RNAcentral. Lineage: Eukaryota; Metazoa; Chordata; Aves; Passeriformes; Pipridae.
GAUUAGCUCAAUUGGUUAGAGCCUGGUGCUAAUAACACCAAAGUUGUGGGUUCAAUCCCUCUGUGAUUA